CAGUCGAACGCGUCUCCGUUGAUGAUUUUAGGUGCUUGCACUUGAAAGAUUUAACAUUGAGACGAGUGGCGAACUGGUGAGUAACACGUGGGUAACCUGCCCUUGAAGUAGGGGAUAACACUUGGAAACAGGUGCUAAUACCGUAUAACAACCAAAACCACCUGGUUUUGGUUUAAAAGACGGCUUCGGCUGUCACUUUAGGAUGGACCCGCGGCGUAUUAGCUUGUUGGUAAGGUAACGGCCUACCAAGGCGAUGAUACGUAGCCGACCUGAGAGGGUAAUCGGCCACAUUGGGACUGAGACACGGCCCAAACUCCUACGGGAGGCAGCAGUAGGGAAUCUUCCACAAUGGACGAAAGUCUGAUGGAGCAACGCCGCGUGAGUGAUGAAGGGUUUCGGCUCGUAAAACUCUGUUGUUGGAGAAGAACAGGUGUCAGAGUAACUGUUGACAUCUUGACGGUAUCCAACCAGAAAGCCACGGCUAACUACGUGCCAGCAGCCGCGGUAAUACGUAGGUGGCAAGCGUUGUCCGGAUUUAUUGGGCGUAAAGCGAGCGCAGGCGGUUUUUUAGGUCUGAUGUGAAAGCCUUCGGCUUAACCGGAGAAGUGCAUCGGAAACCGGGAGACUUGAGUGCAGAAGAGGACAGUGGAACUCCAUGUGUAGCGGUGAAAUGCGUAGAUAUAUGGAAGAACACCAGUGGCGAAGGCGGCUGUCUGGUCUGUAACUGACGCUGAGGCUCGAAAGCAUGGGUAGCGAACAGGAUUAGAUACCCUGGUAGUC
Molecule: ribosomal RNA, 780 nt
Filed under: uncultured bacterium
Lineage: Bacteria
Description: bacterial SSU rRNA
Rfam family: Bacterial small subunit ribosomal RNA
Source: RNAcentral